RNAcentral lists this ribosomal RNA (497 nucleotides) under uncultured bacterium. RNAcentral describes it as "partial 16S ribosomal RNA". It matches the Rfam family "Bacterial small subunit ribosomal RNA", at positions 28 to 507 of the family's 1533-position model. The record is from RNAcentral.
GAUGUACGCUGGCGGCGUGCCUAAUACAUGCAAGUCGAGCGAACAGAUAAGGAGCUUGCUCCUUUGACGUUAGCGGCGGACGGGUGAGUAACACGUGGAUAACCUACCUAUAAGACUGGGAUAACUUCGGGAAACCGGAGCUAAUACCGGAUAACAUAUUGAACCGCAUGGUUCAAUAGUGAAAGGCGGCUUUGCUGUCACUUAUAGAUGGAUCCGCGCCGUAUUAGCUAGUUGGUAAGGUAACGGCUUACCAAGGCAACGAUACGUAGCCGACCUGAGAGGGUGAUCGGCCACACUGGAACUGAGACACGGUCCAGACUCCUACGGGAGGCAGCAGUAGGGAAUCUUCCGCAAUGGGCGAAAGCCUGACGGAGCAACGCCGCGUGAGUGAUGAAGGUCUUCGGAUCGUAAAACUCUGUUAUCAGGGAAGAACAAAUGUGUAAGUAACUGUGCACAUCUUGACGGUACCUGAUCAGAAAGCCACGGCUAACUACGUG